RNAcentral lists this ribosomal RNA (216 nucleotides) under Glomeromycotina sp. RNAcentral's name for it is "partial small subunit ribosomal RNA". The stretch from base 47 to 216 matches the Rfam family "Eukaryotic small subunit ribosomal RNA", at positions 693 to 864 of the family's 1831-position model. Lineage: Eukaryota; Fungi; Glomeromycota. The record is from RNAcentral.
GGGUCAGUAGGUUGGUCGUGCCACCGGUACGUACUGGUCUCACUGGUUCCUCCUUCCUGAAGAACCGUAAUGCCAUUAAUUUGGUGUUGCGGGGAAACAGGACUGUUACUUUGAAAAAAUUAGAGUGUUUAAAGCAAGCUAACGCUUGAAUACAUUAGCGUGGAAUAAUGAAAUAGGACGAUCGAUCCUAUUUUGUUGGUCUCUAGGAUUGACGUA